CGGGGUGCAGCAGGCGCGAAAACUUUACAAUGCGGGAAACCGUGAUAAGGGGACACCGAGUGCCAGCAUCAUAUGCUGGCUGUCCGGGUGUGUAAAAUACACCCGUUAGCAAGGGCCGGGCAAGACCGGUGCCAGCCGCCGCGGUAACACCGGCGGCCCGAGUGGUGAUCGUGAUUAUUGGGUCUAAAGGGUCCGUAGCCGGUUUAGUCAGUCCUCCGGGAAAUCUGAUAGCUCAACUAUUAGGCUUUCGGGGGAUACUGCCAGGCUUGGAACCGGGAGAGGUAAGAGGUACUACAGGGGUAGGAGUGAAAUCUUGUAAUCCCUGUGGGACCACCUGUGGCGAAGGCGUCUUACCAGAACGGGUUCGACGGUGAGGGACGAAAGCUGGGGGCACGAACCGGAUUAGAUACCCGGGUAGUCCCAGCCGUAAACGAUGCUCGCUAGGUGUCAGGCAUGGCGCGACCGUGUCUGGUGCCGCAGGGAAGCCGUGAAGCGAGCCACCUGGGAAGUACGGCCGCAAGGCUGAAACUUAAAGGAAUUGGCGGGGGAGCACAAGGGCAAUUCGCGG
RNAcentral lists this ribosomal RNA (568 nucleotides) under uncultured archaeon. RNAcentral's name for it is "bacterial SSU rRNA". It matches the Rfam family "Archaeal small subunit ribosomal RNA", at positions 326 to 900 of the family's 1478-position model. The record is from RNAcentral.